Molecule: ribosomal RNA, 466 nt
Filed under: uncultured bacterium
Lineage: Bacteria
Description: partial 16S ribosomal RNA
Rfam family: Bacterial small subunit ribosomal RNA
Source: RNAcentral
GACGAACGCUGGCGGCGUGCUUAACACAUGCAAGUCGAACGGAAAGGCCCUGCUUGCAGGGUACUCGAGUGGCGAACGGGUGAGUAACACGUGGGUGAUCUGCCCUGCACUUCGGGAUAAGCUUGGGAAACUGGGUCUAAUACCGGAUAGGAGCCAUCUUUAGUGUGGUGGUUGGAAAGUUUUUUCGGUGUAGGAUGAGCUCGCGGCCUAUCAGCUUGUUGGUGGGGUAAUGGCCUACCAAGGCGGCGACGGGGAGCCGGCCUGAGAGGGUGUACGGCCACAUUGGGACUGAGAUACGGCCCAGACUCCUACGGGAGGCAGCAGUGGGGAAUAUUGCACAAUGGGCGCAAGCCUGAGGCAGCGACGCCGCGUGGGGGAUGAAGGCCUUCGGGUUGUAAACUCCUUUCGCUAGGGACGAAGCUUUUUUGUGACGGUACCUAGAUAAGAAGCACCGGCUAACUACGUG